RNAcentral lists this ribosomal RNA (465 nucleotides) under uncultured bacterium. Its description in RNAcentral is "bacterial SSU rRNA". It matches the Rfam family "Bacterial small subunit ribosomal RNA", at positions 338 to 795 of the family's 1533-position model. The record is from RNAcentral.
CCUACGGGGGGCACCAGUGGGGAAUAUUGCACAAUGGGCGCAAGCCUGAUGCAGCCAUGCCGCGUGUAUGAAGAAGGCCUUCGGGUUGUAAAGUACUUUCUGCGGGGAGGAAGGUGUUGUGGUUAAUAACCGCAGCAAUUGACGUUACCCGCAGAAGAAGCACCGGCUAACUCCGUGCCAGCAGCCGCGGUAAUACGGAGGGUGCAAGCGUUAAUCGGAAUUACUGGGCGUAAAGCGCACGCAGGCGGUCUGUCAAGUCGGAUGUGAAAUCCCCGGGCUCAACCUGGGAACUGCAUUCGAAACUGGCAGGCUAGAGUCUUGUAGAGGGGGGUAGAAUUCCAGGUGUAGCGGUGAAACGCGUAGAGAUCUGGAGGAAUACCGGUGGCGAAGGCGGCCCCCUGGACAAAGGCUGACGCUCAGGUGCGAAAGCGUGGGGAGCAAACAGGAUUAGAUACCCUUGUAGUC